This is a long non-coding RNA of Chrysemys picta bellii (western painted turtle), 900 nucleotides long. RefSeq lists it as uncharacterized. The record is from RefSeq and is a predicted model, not a curated record. NCBI's taxonomy places the organism in Eukaryota, Metazoa, Chordata, Testudines, Emydidae.
CUUUUUGCGGAUACAGACUAACACGGCUGCUACUCUCAAACUAACUUAGUUAUUUCCUUUAUAGUUUCUGUUAUUUAACCUGUAUUAUCCUCUGUGGAGCUAAUGCAUGGAAUAAAGGAUCAUAUAUUUCAAGGCUAAUAUCAGAUGGUUGUUUCAAUGCUACUGGGAGUCCAAGCCAUGGAAUCACCUGAAAUAUUUUUAUGAAUUGUCUAAGACAAUAGCACAGAAUAUGUUUGUAAAGUGAUAAGCAGUACAUUCAAUAAAACCUAAAGAAAAAUACAUUCCAAUUUAAUACAUCUACUGUGUAACUUGAUCCAUUUGCUGUAUAAGAAAAAGGCUCAUACUACACUGUCAAUGUUGUAUCCAGUGCUGCAUCUUCUAUUGGCAUUCCAAAAGUGUCCUAUCCAUAAGCUUUCUUUAAUUGAAGUUACAUGAAAAAUAUGUGGUGCAGGAAGCAUUAUUCUGAUGACACAACUUGUUUUUAAGUUAUGGAUAGGUCCUACCUUUCUAACUCAUAACAGUGCUUUGGGUGGAUUUUAUUUCAUUUUUGCCCUGGCACUUUUUUUCUUGUUUAGACACUUGUGCAUUUCUAUAAAAAACAAACAGACCUCUCCCCCUCUCUCCCAGGGACAUGCCAUCUUGUGCUGUGAUCUUGCAAGAUCUCAAGCAAAGCCAGAUCGGGCCUGGUCAGUACUUGGGAGCAAGAUUGCCAAGGUACACCUUCAGGAAAUGAGAUUGGUGGUAGCUGCUCCAUUUAACCUCAGAGGUGAAGGUUAAAGUGAACUUGGUGUAAAGUACUUCUAUAAAUGUUGAAAAGUUGGAGGAAACUUUCUAACCACAAGGGAGAUGAGCUGGUGGAAUAGUUUCUCCUAAGGAAUUGCUGGAUGCCUCAUCCCUUAG